Molecule: ribosomal RNA, 629 nt
Filed under: uncultured bacterium
Lineage: Bacteria
Description: bacterial SSU rRNA
Rfam family: Bacterial small subunit ribosomal RNA
Source: RNAcentral
AGAGUUUGAUCAUGGCUCAGAACGAACGCUGGCGGCGUGCUUAACACAUGCAAGUCGAACGCGAAAGUUUUCUUCGGAAAGCGAGUAGAGUGGCGCACGGGUGAGUAACGCGUAAAUAAUCUACCCUUGCAUCUGGGAUAACCCACCGAAAGGUGUGCUAAUACCGGAUACGUUCUUUUAACCGCGAGGUUUUAAGAAGAAAGGUGGCCUCUGAUAUAAGCUACUGUGCAGGGAGGAGUUUGCGUACCAUUAGCUAGUUGGUAGGGUAACGGCCUACCAAGGCAACGAUGGUUAGCGGGUCUGAGAGGAUGAUCCGCCACACUGGAACUGGAACACGGACCAGACUCCUACGGGAGGCAGCAGUGAGGAAUAUUGCGCAAUGGGGGCAACCCUGACGCAGCGACGCCGCGUGGAUGAUGAAGGCCUUCGGGUCGUAAAAUCCUGUCAGAUGGAAAGAAGUGCAUAAGUAUUAAUACUACUUAUGUUUGACGGUACCAUCAAAGGAAGCACCGGCUAACUCCGUGCCAGCAGCCGCGGUAAUACGGAGGGUGCAAGCGUUGUUCGGAAUUACUGGGCGUAAAGCGCGCGUAGGUGGUCUGUUAUGUCAGAUGUGAAAGUCCACGGCUCAA